RNAcentral lists this long non-coding RNA (1831 nucleotides) under Oncorhynchus kisutch (coho salmon). RNAcentral describes it as "lncRNA (ENSOKIG00005044861.1)". Lineage: Eukaryota; Metazoa; Chordata; Actinopteri; Salmoniformes; Salmonidae. The record is from RNAcentral.
CACCAGCUCGCCUUGUACGAACCUAUGAUACUGGCCAAAAGGUCGUAUUUGCAUGGGCGGCAUCAUUGAGGGCGUCCACCAUUUUAAUGUAGUCAACUGGGUGGUACUUCCAACUUCAUUGGCUAGCAUGUUCUCGCCUGCCUUCAGCCCUUGUGGACAUGUAUGUCACGUGUGCCAAUGGUUCUUUUUUAGUCCUUUUUCCUUUACCCGCAAGUGUUUUAUUUUGAAUCGAUUUACUUACUUAGAAGUGCUUUAAUAUCUAUUUAUUCCUCUGCUCUGUUUUAGUUUACAUCUUAUUUCUUAUUUAAGUGACUUCCUUUCCUUUGAAUUGGGUAACCGCUUUUGAGUGUUUGUCUCCUUGUGUGAAUGAGGGAAUGAGUGUGUUCAUUAGGGACCUGAGAGAGGCCAGGUGCCGUAGGCUAUGCUCAGCCACACCACUACCCCCACACCUGAGGCGUUUUUGGGGAUAAUGAGCUGCCCCUGCACCAAGGCAGCUCUCAGUCAGACAUGUUCAGCAGAUUCAAGCAACGGGAGAGGCCAGGUGCCGUAGGCUAUGCUCAGCCACACCACUGCCGCCGUGUCUGGGGAGAGGAGACCGGAUGAGUGUGAUGAGCUGACCGGAAACAACCCUAUUUGGGGUGAAGAGCCGAACAAAGUUUUAGUGUGUACCGACGGUUUCCAAUAUGAUGACCUUACUGAUGAUGCUUUCUCCAGAUGUGGUCUGCGACGACGAGACUGCAGAGGCCUUGUCAACAGCAUCGGAACCCCGUGAUGCCGGCAACGAAUGUUCCAUGCCAAACAACUAUGGCCUCUAGCGUAUCGGCUACAUCAAGAUGAAGUGUCCUGGCUGUGGUCACCAAGUGGAAAAAUCGUCAAAAUUUUGCAGUGAAUGCGGAUUGAGGUUAGCUGCUCAAAUUUGCACCACAGGGCCACUAUCACAGCACCGGGGAUGCCUCAGCUGGCUCGUCAGACUUCCCGUACCUCAGCUGGCUCGUCAGACUUCCCGUACCUCAGCUGGCUCGUCAGACUUCCCGUACCUCAGCUGGCUCGUCAGACUUCCCGUACCUCAGCUGGCUCGUCAGACUCCCCGUACCUCAGCUGGCUCGUCAGACUCCCCGUACCUCAGCUGGCUCGUCAGGCUUCCCGUACCUCAGCUGGCUCGUCAGGCUUCCCGUACCUCAGCUGGCUCGUCAGGCUUCCCGUACCUCAGCUGGCUCGUCAGGCUUCCCGUACCUCAGCAGGCUCCCGCGCCUCAGCCGGCUCGUCAGGUUCUCAGGCCUUGGUUGGCUCGUCAGGCUUCCAUUGUCGAAGCUACCGGGAAUUCCUCAGCAGGCUCCCGCGCCUCAGCCGACUCAACAGGCUCCCGCGCCUCUGCCGGCUCGAGGCGACCUGCCUGGUCCUCAGGACUGUUCCUCUGGUCGGCGCCCUGCGGCUGGAGACGUGCGUCAGAGAGGGGGUACUGUCACGUCUACUCCCGCUCCCCCUCUCCGCCGGUCGACGUCACCAGUUUAAUCAUUAUUACGCACACCUGCCACCAUCGUUACACACACCUGCGCCACAUGAGACUCACCUGGACUCUAAUCACUUCUAUGAUUACCUCUCCUAUAUCUGUCGCUCCUUUUGGUUCUUUCCCCAGGCAGUAUUAGUUCAGUUUUAUGUUUCAUGUUUAUACUCUACUCGUGUUUUGUUAUAUUGUUCGAUGUUCCCUUUAUUAAACUCACCAUCUGCACUCGCUUUCCGACUCCCAGUGUAUACGUUACACCGACAUGAGCCUUUUAUACCUCCCAUGUGCAUGCCGGCACCACCUUUGACGAGUGUGCGAUGUGGAUGG